CUUUAUAAAGGCUGCCUUGGUCAUGGUGUCUGUUCACAGCAGUAAACCCCUAACCAGUUUUUAUGUUUUUAUUCAUCUAAAUUGAAACAUCAACAUGUGGCCUGUGGAUACUCUAUUAGACAACAGCUCCUGGUUAGGUACCAGGAGGCCUCUUUCUGAGACUCAGCCGAUGCCUAUUAGAAAUUGCCACCCUGCAGUCUACGGGAUGCUCCUUGGCGCCAGCCAUGAAAUGUCUUUAGGUGAGACUGAGCCGCUUUAAUUCAUGGUAUCUCACUUUUUGCCAUAUUUGAAGCAGGGUUUUAGCCCCUGCCAUUAAUUAAGAACAGUGUAGAAACAAAAACAUUUCAAAGGAACGCGGGCCCUGGAUGUUAAGGCUGUCAUCUCUUUACAUGGCCUCAUGAUUCAACGAUUAAUGGACCUUAAAACAAUCAUAAAACAUCAAGGCCUCUGCUCAAGCUUACAACAGGGGUAGUUUUACUGAGGCUCCAAUCUUCUCGUUUGAAAUUCAUUGUGUGUCACGGGGCUCUGUAAACACUUUUAAGGAUUCUGACAUUGUGGUGUGAGAUGCUGUUAAUCUGUUCCCUCCCUGACCUUCAUUGGCUGGUGGUAUGGCGUGGCUGCGUGGAAAAUUCAUGAAAACAUCAAGGAUGCACUCUGUGACAUAGACUAGGGCACAAUAAACCUAAAUAAUGGCCAUUGUGUGCAGAUUCCGACUCAAUGAACUGACUCAGGGAAGAGUCUUUGAGCAACCCGGCUGUACCAGAGCCUCAGUGGCAGACACUUGCAUAUUGUAUUUUAUAUGCAUAACCUUUAGAACAACUGUAGGGGGUCAAUGUGAGAUCACCACCCCCCCCAUUUCACAGAUAUGCAUACUGAGGCCUGGACAUGUGGUUAAUAAGGGGCAGAGAUAGAAUUCAAAUUCAGGUAUCUCAUCCUUCUCAAAUAACUCUUUUUUUUCUUUUGUGCAACUACUACAUGCUAAAAGUUUGCAGAUGAUUGAAGAUACACCUUAUUUUUCUUUCCUUUUUUGAUUUUUUACAUGCCUGAGUCUUUAGCCUGCAUACAUAUAUAUAUAUAUGUAUAUAUAUACACACACACACACAUAUGCACACACACAUAUGCAGUACCCACAGAGACCAGAAAGGGACGAUGGACACUCCCUCCCCCCAAACUGGCUUUACAGAUGAUUAUGAACUGCCAUGUGGCUAUAAGGGUCUGAACCCAGGUCCUCUGCAAGAGCAGGAAGUGCUCAUAACUACUAAGCCAUCUCUCCAUCCCCUAGAUACACCACAUUUUCCAGGAGUGGUCACAGUGAUUUCCCACUGGCAUAUUCUUUUCGAGAACCAUCCCAUUGCCAUGUGAGAAGGUGGAACAUACUUCCUCUCCCCGUACACCUCCAUAGGCUUCUGGGUACACCUGGACAGGCUGAACAGAAGAAUCAGAGGUUCACGUGACUUCCACGGCUGAAUCAUGAAAGGCAAUGUAAAAUCUACUUGGCUCUUUCUUGGGAUGUGUACCCUGGAAGCCCAGUUGCCAUAUUUCAUAUUUGGAGGACGCCCUGGUUGCCUGAAAGCAUUGUAAAGUGUCACAGCCAAUGUCCAGCUUUGACACCUACUCUUUUGAUUGGACUUCCUUUAGAUGACCUCUGCCUUGAGUUAUUUUUGUCUUUUGCUUUUGUUUUGCCUUCAAGCAACUUCAGAUGGUGCAUGUGGGAGUGAACAAACUGUCCCCUUGGAGGCCUGCUGAAACAUGUCAUCAUAGAACAGGGCAGCUUGGGGUGCUGUGUGGAAGAUACAUCAGUAGUGACUAGAACAUGGUCGAACGUCACUGAAACUCGAGAAGAGGUCAUUGCUCCCAUUCCUCCAUCAACUACAGCUAUAGAGUCGUCUCUUCAGACCCAUUUGCUGUGUCUGGAUAACCUAAAACACCAAUGUGAAAUAUCCUUUUCUGUCCACCUUCAACAUGAUCCACAUCUGUGUCCAUUUGUGCUUGAGGAUCUCAGGACACUGGAAAAAAUGUAUCUGGCCACUCUCAAGUAUGUAUUUUUCCUUUACUGGGUAAAGUUCUUUUGGCUUCUUUAAGUAUUAAACAUUAAAUCAUCUCAUUAAUAAAAUUUGCAAUGUUAUA
RNAcentral lists this small RNA (2127 nucleotides) under Rattus norvegicus (Norway rat). Its description in RNAcentral is "uncharacterized LOC108348987". Lineage: Eukaryota; Metazoa; Chordata; Mammalia; Rodentia; Muridae. The record is from RNAcentral.